This 74-nucleotide transfer RNA is filed under the name Lishizhenia tianjinensis. RNAcentral describes it as "marine bacterium H6 tRNA". It matches the Rfam family "tRNA". From Rfam's summary of the family: Transfer RNA (tRNA) molecules are approximately 80 nucleotides in length. Their secondary structure includes four short double-helical elements and three loops (D, anti-codon, and T loops). Lineage: Bacteria; Pseudomonadati; Bacteroidota; Flavobacteriia; Flavobacteriales; Crocinitomicaceae. The record is from Rfam by way of RNAcentral.
GGCGUGGUAGCUCAGUUGGUUAGAGCGCAGGAUUCAUAACCCUGAGGUCGGGAGUUCAACUCUCCCUCACGCCA